Long non-coding RNA from Acanthochromis polyacanthus (spiny chromis), 787 nucleotides. RefSeq lists it as uncharacterized. The record is from RefSeq and is a predicted model, not a curated record. NCBI's taxonomy places the organism in Eukaryota, Metazoa, Chordata, Actinopteri, Pomacentridae. The transcript has 3 exons.
AUGCAGCUGAACUUGUGGAUGUUUUAACAAAAAACUGGACAUUUCGUGCUUUGUAAAGGCAGAAUAUGUGGCAUUUAACUGUGAAGCUGCAUCUAAUAAUUAUCACAUCGUUCGGCAUUGUCAGAGCACCUGGAAGCUGUGUGCUGCUCUGGUCUGAUUGCAUUACUGCGAGAUGAUGUGGUUUAAUCCAAGCUGCACAGGGAACAGCGGACCAAAACAGAACGUGGCUCAUCAGAAAAUCAGCUGCUUUGGCUGGAGGAAGUCUCCAACAUGAAUGCUCUCAACCCCCUCAUUGAGAGAAGGACACUGAUGCACAUGCUCUCUGAGCCAGGAGACCAUUUCGGCAUAUCUGUCUGAUACUUCUCCUGCACUGAUCACAUCAGAGAUGCAAAGGAAGCCCUGACAAAAGAGAUGGAAAAGACUGAGCCAUCUGAUACUGAGACCACCACAGAAAGCCCCAGGAAAAGUCCACGAAUGGAGGCAGCCGCAGAACCCGAGACUCGCAACAGUAAUCAGAGUGGGCUGAAGGGAUAUGGUUAUGGUUAUGGUCCUUGUGAAAAAACUAUUUGCAAGUUGUUAUUGCACUUUUUCAUACUUGAAUUAUUACAAUUCUCAAUUUUUUUUGUUAGAGUAGACACUCUUAUAUGUUGAUUUGAAACACUUGAUAUAAAGUUGAAGAAAAUAGUAUUAUACGUGAUAUUAAUGUUGCACAAACGUUAACUUUUUUAUUUUUAUAAAGUUACUGUCAAGUUGUUUAUGACAGAAUAAACAACAUUCAUUCAAAUAA